RNAcentral lists this ribosomal RNA (497 nucleotides) under uncultured bacterium. RNAcentral describes it as "partial 16S ribosomal RNA". It matches the Rfam family "Bacterial small subunit ribosomal RNA", at positions 28 to 507 of the family's 1533-position model. The record is from RNAcentral.
GAUGAACGCUGGCGGCGUGCCUAAUACAUGCAAGUCGAGCGAACGGACGAGAAGCUUGCUUCUCUGAUGUUAGCGGCGGACGGGUGAGUAACACGUGGAUAACCUACCUAUAAGACUGGGAUAACUUCGGGAAACCGGAGCUAAUACCGGAUAAUAUUUUGAACCGCAUGAUUCAAAAGUGAAAGACGGUCUUGCUGUCACUUAUAGAUGGAUCCGCGCUGCAUUAGCUAGUUGGUAAGGUAACGGCUUACCAAGGCAACGAUGCAUAGCCGACCUGAGAGGGUGAUCGGCCACACUGGAACUGAGACACGGUCCAGACUCCUACGGGAGGCAGCAGUAGGGAAUCUUACGCCCUGGGCGCCCGCCUGCCGGCGCCCCGCCGCGUGAGUGAUGAAGGUCUUCGGAUCGUAAAACUCUGUUAUUAGGGAAGAACAUAUGUGUCAGUAACUGUGCACAUCUUGACGGUACCUAAUCAGAAAGCCACGGCUAACUACGUG